This 359-nucleotide ribosomal RNA is filed under the name uncultured fungus. RNAcentral describes it as "LSU rRNA". It matches the Rfam family "Eukaryotic large subunit ribosomal RNA", at positions 65 to 424 of the family's 3401-position model. Lineage: Eukaryota; Fungi. The record is from RNAcentral.
CCAACAGGGAUUACCUCAGUAACGGCGAGUGAAGCGGUAACAGCUCAAAUUUGAAAUCUGGCCUCACGGUCCGAGUUGUAAUUUGUAGAGGAUGCUUCGAGCAUGGUCUGGCCUAAGUUCCUUGGAACAGGACGUCAUAGAGGGUGAGAAUCCCGUAUGCGGCCAGGUGCCUACGCUCAUGUGAAGCUCCUUCGACGAGUCGAGUUGUUUGGGAACGCAGCUCAAAAUGGGUGGUAAAAUUCAUCUAAAGCUAAAUAUUGGCCAGAGACCGAUAGCGCACAAGUAGAGUGAUCGAAAGAUGAAAAGCACUUUGGAAAGAGAGUUAAACAGUACGUGAAAUUGUUGAAAGGGAAGCGCUU